RNAcentral lists this ribosomal RNA (268 nucleotides) under uncultured bacterium. Its description in RNAcentral is "partial 16S ribosomal RNA". It matches the Rfam family "Bacterial small subunit ribosomal RNA", at positions 87 to 353 of the family's 1533-position model. The record is from RNAcentral.
GGUGGCGACCGGCGGACGGGUGCGUAACACGUAUCCAACCUGCCGAUGACUCGGGGAUAGCCUUUCGAAAGAAAGNUUAAUACCCGAUGGCAUAGUUCUUCCGCAUGGUGGAACUAUUAAAGAAUUUCGGUCAUCGAUGGGGAUGCGUUCCAUUAGGUUGUUGGCGGGGUAACGGCCCACCAAGACUACGAUGGAUAGGGGUUCUGAGAGGAAGGUCCCCCACCAUUGGGACUGAGACACGGCCCAGACUCCUACGGGAGGCAGCAUG